UGUGGUCACAUCAGCCUGAACACAUCUUGACUUCAGAAGCUAAGCAGGGGUGGACCUGAUUAAGAGCUGAGUUGGGGAAACUGUAC
RNAcentral lists this ribosomal RNA (86 nucleotides) under Mus pahari (shrew mouse). RNAcentral describes it as "rRNA (MGP_PahariEiJ_G0032576.1)". The record is from RNAcentral. Lineage: Eukaryota; Metazoa; Chordata; Mammalia; Rodentia; Muridae.